Molecule: long non-coding RNA, 1546 nt
Organism: Phacochoerus africanus (Common warthog)
Lineage: Eukaryota; Metazoa; Chordata; Mammalia; Artiodactyla; Suidae
Exons: 4
Source: RefSeq, a predicted model, not a curated record
AUGAUGGGAACUCCAAGAACAGUUUUAGAUUUACAGAAAAGUUGUAAAGAUAGAGUUGCCAUAUACGAUACACCCAGUUGCCUGUUAUUAACAUAUGUUGUUCAUGUGGUGCAUUUCAACUAGUGAACUAAUAUUGAUGCUUUAUUAUUAACUAAGUUUCAUAUGUUAUUAAGAUUUCCUUAGUUUUUACCUAAUGUCCCAUUUUUGUUCCAGGAUCCCAUCCAGAAUACAUUAUAUUUUGUCAUAAUGUCUCCUUAGGUUCUUCUUAGUUGUGAUAGUUUUUCAGACUUUUUAGCUUUUUGAUGACCUCAGUGGUUUUGGGAAGUACUGGCCAAGUGUUUCAUAGAACUCUUCAAUAUGGGUUUGUCUUAUAUUUUUAUCAUAAUUAGAAAUGGGGUUAUGGGUUUUUGGAAAUAAGACCACAGAGGUAAAGUGCCUUCUUCUUCUUUUUUAUUUUUUUGGUUGUGCCCAUAGCAUGUGAAAGUUCCUAGGCCAGGGAUUGAACCAGUGCCACAGCAGUGACAAUGCUGGAUCCUUAACUUCUAGGCUACCAGGGAAAUCCUAAAGUGCCAUUCUGCACAUCAUAGCAAGGGUACAUACUGUCAACAUGACAUCAUUGUUGAUGUUAUUCUUGAUCACCUGGCUGAGGUAGUGUUUGAAGUUUUCUUCAAUGACAAGUUAUUCUUUUCUCCUUUCCUUUUUUGGAAAGUUAAUUACCAUGUGAAACCCACACUUAAGGGGUAGGAAGUUAAGUUUCACAUAAAUUAUUUGGAAUUCUUCUCCAUGGGAGAUUUGUCUAUUUUCUACCAUUUAUUCAAUAAUUUGUAUCAGUAUAGACACAUGGACAUUUAUUUUAUACUUUACAUAUCCCCAUUACUGAUUUUUGAUGUUGUUUGUUUUUAGCAUGUCCUUAUUUUCUGGAAAUUGGAGGUGGGAGGGCACUUGUUUUCUUCAACAAGCUUUCCUGUUGCUUCCAGGCACAGUAUAUUUAAGCAGAUAUUGACAAGGAAGACUUUCUCAUGUUUGUGAGAUCCUCUAUGCCACAUGUUCCCUAGCUAAAACAGCUUCAAGUCGUGCUUUCAAGGGUGGAGAAGAAGCCAUUACACUUUUAAAAACUGAAGAAUACUGAGGCCCAAUCUGCAUGAGCUUUUGCAAAGCAAAGUCAUGUAGAUUUCUCAUUAUGGAAGUUGCUGAUCCUAGAGCAUUCUCAUCCAAAAGGAAGGAAAUGAGGAUAGGCAGAAGACAGGCCACCAGCUGAGAGCCUGGAAAGAAAACAAACGAGGUCAAGAAAAGCAAUCACAUACUCCAACACACCUUCAGGAGAGCACACCGCAGGAAGUUCAGAGAGGAUGACCAAUGCAGCAGAAACCAACCUACUUCCAUCUUCUGACAGCAUCUGUGGCUUUGCACCUUUUACUCCUGGGCUACCUGUCAAUUUAGGAUUUAGCUCUGGAAGCUGUCUAACUAGAAUGCAUACACACAAUUCCAGUGUUGCAAAGACCAAAGAUUUUCCAGGGCCAUACUUGCAGCAUAUGGAAGUUUCUAG